Molecule: ribosomal RNA, 504 nt
Filed under: uncultured bacterium
Lineage: Bacteria
Description: partial 16S ribosomal RNA
Rfam family: Bacterial small subunit ribosomal RNA
Source: RNAcentral
AUUGAACGCUGGCGGCAGGCCUAACACAUGCAAGUCGAGCGGUAGCACAGGGAGCUUGCUCCUGGGUGACGAGCGGCGGACGGGUGAGUAAUGUCUGGGAAACUGCCUGAUGGAGGGGGAUAACUACUGGAAACGGUAGCUAAUACCGCAUAACGUCGCAAGACCAAAGAGGGGGACCUUCGGGCCUCUUGCCAUCAGAUGUGCCCAGAUGGGAUUAGCUAGUAGGUGGGGUAACGGCUCACCUAGGCGACGAUCCCUAGCUGGUCUGAGAAGAUGACCAGCCACACUGGAACUGAGACACGGUCCAGACUCCUACGGGAGGCAGCAGUGGGGAAUAUUGCACAAUGGGCGCAAGCCUGAUGCAGCCAUGCCGCGUGUAUGAAGAAGGCCUUCGGGUUGUAAAGUACUUUCAGCGGGGAGGAAGGCGAUAAGGUUAAUAACCUUGUCGAUUGACGUUACCCGCAGAAGAAGCACCGGCUAACUCCGUGCCAGCAGCCGCCGUAA